AGAGUUUGAUCAUGGCUCAGAUUGAACGCUGGCGGCAGGCCUAACACAUGCAAGUCGAGCGGUAGCACAGAGAGCUUGCUCUCGGGUGACGAGCGGCGGACGGGUGAGUAAUGUCUGGGAAACUGCCUGAUGGAGGGGGAUAACUACUGGAAACGGUAGCUAAUACCGCAUAACGUCGCAAGACCAAAGUGGGGGACCUUCUGGCCUCAUGCCAUCAGAUGUGCCCAGAUGGGAUUAGCUAGUAGGUGGGGUAACGGCUCACCUAGGCGACGAUCCCUAGCUGGUCUGAGAGGAUGACCAGCCACACUGGAACUGAGACACGGUCCAGACUCCUACGGGAGGCAGCAGUGGGGAAUAUUGCACAAUGGGCGCAAGCCUGAUGCAGCCAUGCCGCGUGUGUGAAGAAGGCCUUCGGGUUGUAAAGCACUUUCAGCGGGGAGGAAGGCGNNNNNNNNNCGAUUGACGUUACCCGCAGAAGAAGCACCGGCUAACUCCGUGCCAGCAGCCGCGGUAAUACGGAGGGUGCAAGCGUUAAUCGGAAUUACUGGGCGUAAAGCGCACGCAGGCGGUCUGUCAAGUCGGAUGUGAAAUCCCCGGGCUCAACCUGGGAACUGCAUUCGAAACUGGCAGGCUAGAGUCUUGUAGAGGGGGGUAGAAUUCCAGGUGUAGCGGUGAAAUGCGUAGAGAUCUGGAGGAAUACCGGUGGCGAAGGCGGCCCCCUGGACAAAGACUGACGCUCAGGUGCGAAAGCGUGGGGAGCAAACAGGAUUAGAUACCCUGGUAGUCCACGCCGUAAACGAUGUCGAUUUGGAGGUUGUGCCCUUGAGGCGUGGCUUCCGGAGCUAACGCGUUAAAUCGACCGCCUGGGGAGUACGGCCGCAAGGUUAAAACUCAAAUGAAUUGACGGGGGCCCGCACAAGCGGUGGAGCAUGUGGUUUAAUUCGAUGCAACGCGAAGAACCUUACCUGGUCUUGACAUCCACAGAACUUNUUGGUGCCUUCGGGAACUGUGAGACAGGUGCUGCAUGGCUGUCGUCAGCUCGUGUUGUGAAAUGUUGGGUUAAGUCCCGCAACGAGCGCAACCCUUAUCCUUUGUUGCCAGCGGUUAGGCCGGGAACUCAAAGGAGACUGCCAGUGAUAAACUGGAGGAAGGUGGGGAUGACGUCAAGUCAUCAUGGCCCUUACGACCAGGGCUACACACGUGCUACAAUGGCAUAUACAAAGAGAAGCGACCUCGCGAGAGCAAGCGGACCUCAUAAAGUAUGUCGUAGUCCGGAUUGGAGUCUGCAACUCGACUCCAUGAAGUCGGAAUCGCUAGUAAUCGUAGAUCAGAAUGCUACGGUGAAUACGUUCCCGGGCCUUGUACACACCGCCCGUCACACCAUGGGAGUGGGUUGCAAAAGAAGUAGGUAGCUUAACCUUCGGGAGGGCGCUUACCACUUUGUGAUUCAUGACUGGGGUGAAGUCGUAACAAGGUAACCGUAGGGGAACCUGCGGUUGGAUCACCU
This 1507-nucleotide ribosomal RNA is filed under the name Klebsiella pneumoniae. RNAcentral's name for it is "bacterial SSU rRNA". It matches the Rfam family "Bacterial small subunit ribosomal RNA". Lineage: Bacteria; Pseudomonadati; Pseudomonadota; Gammaproteobacteria; Enterobacterales; Enterobacteriaceae. The record is from RNAcentral.